AUGCUUUUCGGCCACAUACAACCCGACUGGGGGCUUCCCAAGUUCAUGAAGAGGGCAGUCUUGGAAUCAUCACCGUACCUGGAGGAUGACCGCCUCGUGAUCAAGUGCGAGGUCACCAUCGUCAGGCAACCGCAGGUGGAGGAGACCGCGCCGGACUUCCAGGUCCAGGUGCCGCCCUCUGAUCUGUACGACAACUUGGGAAACUCUUAG
Molecule: ribosomal RNA, 210 nt
Filed under: Triticum aestivum (bread wheat)
Lineage: Eukaryota; Viridiplantae; Streptophyta; Magnoliopsida; Poales; Poaceae
Description: partial small subunit ribosomal RNA
Source: RNAcentral